AAUUCCAAGAGAAGGUCUAUUCUCAGAAGAUGGUUUUUAAAAAGCUCCAUGUAUAUAUUCAUUAGCAAAUUGGUAAUGGCCGAGAGCUUGGAAGAGUAAUUAUUCCAGACAGACAUUCCUGUACAGAGGUACUGCACUUUUACACAGUGAUGUUAUAAAGGUAACACUGCCCUAAUGUUCCACAUUGACUCUAAGCCUAGGUCUAUACUUGCGGCAGCGAGUUCAUACACUGCAUGUCCCCCUAACAUGGGUAAAAACAGCAGUGCAGAUAGUGGGACACUGCUUAGACGAAUAAAGACACUCCAGAACCUUUGGGUAUGUCCUCUACAGGGCUCUAUCCUCCCAGAGCAGUGCCUCCUCUAUCCACACUGAUGUCUUUAGUGGAGUAGUGGCCCACUGCCUCCCUGCUGGCAGAGCCUUUCCACAAUGCAAUGAAAGAGUCUGGCAGUGGGAAAAGGCUCUGGCAGCUCCCUGCUGUCUCUCCCCAGCCAGCCUCUUUCACUGCCACACACACAUACAGUUUGGAUGCAGCCUGCUUUUCACUGCAGUGUGCAACUACACAUAUCCUAAAAGUAGCUGUCACUGUAGAUAAGAUAAUGCUGAAGACUUCGCAAUACAAUGUCCAUUCAUUCAAAUUAUGUUUUGAAUUACAACAGUUAACCUCAUAAAUGUUAAUACAUAUUGAUUCUUUACACCUUGGAGUUUAACUUCUAUGUUGAUGGGGAAAAUCAAAGGCUGAAAAAUGUUUAUCCUCAUAACCAGUACAGUCUAGAGCAAACUGCAUUGGCAUUCACAGACUAGAGCAAUGCUAACAUAUUGAGAACCUCCUAUGUCACGGAUGGGAAUGUUACCCAAUUUCAGCAUCCAGUCUCUUUGUACUCGGAGCCUUUACAAACCAGGAUGAGGAAAUACAGCUCAUUGACGGGGAAUUCAAGGACAACACUAUCUGACUGGUAUGCUUUCCAUACUUACGGCAUAAAAGAUGAAGUUGGACUGAACAUCUCAAGGAAGGAGAUUACUGUUAGAAAAUAAGUGUUAAUGAAAGACAGCACAAUUUGAUAUUUUGGCUCCAAAUAGAUUCCUGGGAUCUGGCUUCCACACCAUCUCUGCACUCAGCCUCUUCAACUGAGGAACCUCUCUGCAGUAACAUUGUGGACUCUCUCAUCUCGUCAUCAGCAUGAACGCAAGUCCUCUGGAAUGGUGGCCAAAGCAUGAAGGGGCACAUGAAUGUUUAGCAUAUCUGGCACUUAAAUACCUUAGAAUGCCAACUACAAAAGUGCCAUGCCAACGCCUGUUCUCACUUUCAGAUGACAUUGCAAGUAAGAAGCCGGCAGCCUUAUCUCCCGUAAAUGUAAACAAACUUGCUUGCCUGAGUGAUUGGCUGAACAAGACGUAGGACUGAGUGGACCUGUAGGCGCUAAAGUUUUACACUGUUUUGUUUUUGAAUGCAGUUAUGUAACAAAACAAAACAAAAAAUUUACAUUUUUAAGUUGUACUUUCACAAUAAAG
Molecule: long non-coding RNA, 1509 nt
Organism: Gopherus flavomarginatus (Mexican gopher tortoise)
Lineage: Eukaryota; Metazoa; Chordata; Testudines; Testudinidae
Exons: 4
Source: RefSeq, a predicted model, not a curated record